GCGAGUCUCCCUAUUCCAGCCUUGUUUGUGUCUGACUUCGUAGCUGCUCGGUUCCCAGUUUGGAGUAGGAGGUGCUGGCUGCUGCAGGUUGGAGGCUGGAGCCUGUGGGGCUGUAGCUGUCCUCGCAGACUCGUCUCGCCGGCUUGCUUUUGUCGCUGCAGUUGGUGGCAGCCGCGGACACUGCAGCUGGCCAGAGCAUAGAAAGGCGUCAGAUCAAAGAAGAUGGCCAUGGAGACAGCAGUGUGGUUGGAGUGGUAGGAGCCGGCCAUCACCGAGAGCUGCUCCGGGCCUGGCUGCUGAGUGCUAGAGCCUGCGGCCCAGUGACUUCCUUCACUGUGGUUGGUGGUGGCGGUGACAGAGACUGCAGCAUGACCAGAGUGGCUUUUCUGGCUUUGCCCGCCCAGCUGCUCUGGUGCCAGGAGGAGGAGGAGACACCUGGAGCCUGUGACACCACGGCUUGCCUCGCUGAUGGUGGGUGGCAGUGACGGAGACUGCAGCGUGCUGGAACGCCCCUGGCCCUGUCAUGGACCUGCCCUGGACCUGUCCUGGCCCUGGCCAGAUCCUCCCAUGAAGACCCCGCAGAGGGACCUCCACACAGAAACUCCCGACAGAGACUCACACAGAGACUCUUCAAAAGCAACACAGAGAUCCCCACGGAGACACUCAGAGCGACUCUAACAGAGACCUGCACAGAGAAAAUAUAUCAAGGUCACUUUGCUACCCCCUAAAAUCCCUAGCACUGCACUCACUUGGUGAAAAUGAGCGGCAUCUACCUCAUUACCAGCAGCGGUUUUCUCCUGGCGGCCUCUGCCCUCUUCUAGAUAAGAUUCCUUGAGAUACCAAACAAUAGAAAAGCCUCCUGCAUCAGACAGUGUCCAACGACCCGCUGACAGUUCCUUCUCAGGAUCACCCAAUCACAACCCCCAUGCUGAUAUCAAACUGUAACGUUCAUGAUAGAAACGGUGAGAGUUCCUCUGAUGCCGUCCUUCUGAGACUGCCCUCAGUUCCUCAGGCCAUGCUCCCCCUCACUGUCAAGGGAAUCCACCCGGCUGGUCUAGGUCGGCCUUGCUCACGGGGCUCCUCUUGCAGGCCUUGUGCUGGAGGACACGGAACAGGAAGGAUCUCGGCUUGGACAAAGCUUCCUCAGAAAACCUUCUCCGGCUCCCCUAUGAGGCCAGGCCCCCUGUGCUGGGUUUCCCACGCUGGCCCUUCUUCCCUUGUGACAGCCUCUGCACACCUGCGCAUGUUUCUCCUAGAACCCUGAACGCUUCCGGUGGGCCCAGUGAGGAGGGAGGCGUGCCUGACCACACUCCCAGUACUGACUGUGGCCCUUGUUAAAAAUUGUUUCACAAAAUCUCCUUAAUUAAUGGGCACAGGAAUCAAUGCUUCCUCUACCUCAUAUAUAAGUUGCAUUACUAAAAUCAUAUUUUCAUGAAGGGUCUUAACUCUUUCCAGUAGCCAAUAUCAUGUUUCAAAGAAAAUCUGUAAAAAUAAAAUGGCAUUGAAACUUCAA
Molecule: non-coding RNA, 1513 nt
Organism: Macaca mulatta (Rhesus monkey)
Lineage: Eukaryota; Metazoa; Chordata; Mammalia; Primates; Cercopithecidae
Source: RefSeq, a predicted model, not a curated record